This 446-nucleotide ribosomal RNA is filed under the name uncultured bacterium. Its description in RNAcentral is "bacterial SSU rRNA". It matches the Rfam family "Bacterial small subunit ribosomal RNA", at positions 330 to 792 of the family's 1533-position model. The record is from RNAcentral.
UCCAGACUCCUACGGGAGGCAGCAGUGGGGGAUAUUGCACAAUGGGGGAAACCCUGAUGCAGCGACGCCGCGUGUGGGAAGACGGUCCUCUGGAUUGUAAACCACUGUCCCCAGGGACGAAGAUGACGGUACCUGGGGAGGAAGCUCCGGCUAACUACGUGCCAGCAGCCGCGGUAAUACGUAGGGGGCAAGCGUUAUCCGGAUUUACUGGGUGUAAAGGGAGCGUAGACGGCAUGGCAAGUCAGAUGUGAAAGCCCGGGGCUCAACCCCGGGACUGCAUUUGAAACUGUCAGGCUGGAGUGCAGGAGAGGUAAGUGGAAUUCCUAGUGUAGCGGUGAAAUGCGUAGAUAUUAGGAGGAACACCAGUGGCGAAGGCGGCUUACUGGACUGUAACUGACGUUGAGGCUCGAAAGCGUGGGGAGCAAACAGGAUUAGAUACCCGUGUA